AGGAGGGUGGUGGUUUAACAGAUGUCACCAUGCCUUUCUUAAUGGUGCCUGGUUCCCAGGACGCUGGGACUGGACUUGGAAAUCUACAGUAUGGAACGGGACGUCAGUGAGGGGUACAAUGAUGAUGAUCAAACGUCACUAGAUACAGCAUUCUAAGCAAAAAUGCUUAGGAAACUAUUCCGAUGAAAGAGGGACAAUUUCCACUUGUAGUGAAAGAAACGUGUUCUCCUUUAGUCUUUUUAUGCCCCUGUAAUCGAAGAUUCGGGGGUAUAUAGUUUUCGCCCUGUACGUCUGUCCGAAAAAAGUUUAACCUGUCCCAUAACUUUUGAUUCAGAUUGGUUGGAGCUAGGACUUUCAUAUUUCACACGUGUAUUCCUUGUGACAAGACCUGACUUCUAAACAGUUGUUGCUAGGGCUUCAUAUUUCAAAUGUCUAUUCAUCGUGACAAGGCCUUUCCAUGGGUGUAAAUAUUUUUGACCUUGACUUAGAGUUUGACCCACUUUAAAAAACUUUAAUGUUGACCAUAACUUUUGAACAUUUUUGAACAUUUAGCACUAGGACUGUUAAAUUUCAUAGGUAAAUCCCUUGUGACAAGACCUUCUUUUGGAUACUAACGAUUUUGACUUUGACCUUGGAGUUUGACUUAAUUUUGAAAAACUAACUUUCUCCAUACAUGUACCUUCUGAACAGUUGGUGCUAGGGCUUUAACAUUUUCCAUGUGUAUUUCUUUUGACAAGGUCAUCAAUUUUUACCAUGACCUUGGAGUUUCCACUUUUAGAAAACAUUAACCUUGACUAAAGUUUUGAAUGUUUGGUGCUUGAGCUUUCAUAUUUACCAGAUAUAUCCAUUGACACAUGUCCUUUCUUUGGGUAACAAGAUGAUUGAUAUCUUGACCUUGGAGUUUGACAUAUAUUUGAGAAGCUUUAAUCAUAAGUUGCCGUACGGGGGCAUAAGUGUUUCACAAACACAUCUUUUUGCUUUAAAUGAUUUUUCUAUAUUGAAUGAACCAUGCAAAUGAUGCAAGAAAUGUAAAUAAAAUGGCAACUGCAAA
Molecule: long non-coding RNA, 1051 nt
Organism: Saccostrea echinata
Lineage: Eukaryota; Metazoa; Mollusca; Bivalvia; Ostreida; Ostreidae
Exons: 2
Source: RefSeq, a predicted model, not a curated record